Molecule: long non-coding RNA, 895 nt
Filed under: Equus asinus (donkey)
Lineage: Eukaryota; Metazoa; Chordata; Mammalia; Perissodactyla; Equidae
Description: lncRNA (ENSEASG00005023793.1)
Source: RNAcentral
GGAGGUGUGAGCACAGCGAGCAGCAGGGAGCCAGACAAGAGGGGCCGGGGCUGCGCCCUGCAAAGAACUUCAAAGGAGCAUCAUUCCCAGAGGAUUUGUUCAUCGAUGUGUCACAGUCUAGCUACUGAGCCCGUGCACAGGAAGGAAACGGUCAGGUUCAGAGACCAAAACAUCUGUCCCUGUGCAUCUUGUAGAGUUGGGGAACUGGGACUCCUGUGACCCAUGUAGAUACAGUGCUUCCCUCUGACUCGAAGGGUUUGGCCCCCGACCCCGGAACGGCCUGAAGCUUGGACUGUCGGCCCUGCCCUUCUUCUGGGCUGGGAGAAAGGGCAGGCAAGAGGCCUUGGGGGUUGGGGCGGGAGACCGAAGGUGGAGAUGUGCCGCUGUGUACAGCCGACUUGCCUGCCCAUCACCCAAACACCAAGUUCCGCUCGCAGAGGAAGUGAGAGGUGUCCGAUUCGGUCUCCCAGAACGCAGCUGGGCUGCCUGAAACGAGCGCCGCGGCGACUCUGAAGGAGGUGUCAUCCCUGGGCCAGUACAGGAUUGAGUCACAGCAGCCGCCACUCCUGCGUCAAAAAUACUGGGCCAUUGUCCCAGGGAGUUUGGCCCCUCAGUCAAGUCAUUUCCGACCCGCAACCUGGAAUCCCAAUGAAGGAAAAAGGGGAGGAAAAGAAGCGGAAACCAGGAUGGCUAAGCAAGCCGAGGAAGACGAGCCCCGGCCAGCUGGAGUAGCACCUGAGUGUGCGACCCCACCCCCCACUGGGGCAUCUUCUCCUUGGUUACAUUCCAGACCCGGAAGCGAAUCCCGGCUGUAUGGUGUCCAAAGACCUACAAUCUGGGGGCAUUCCUUAAUAAAAAGAAUCCAAGAUUCUGAAAACAAACUUAAGUACAAAAG